This is a long non-coding RNA of Quercus robur (English oak), 820 nucleotides long. RefSeq lists it as uncharacterized. The record is from RefSeq and is a predicted model, not a curated record. Lineage: Eukaryota; Viridiplantae; Streptophyta; Magnoliopsida; Fagales; Fagaceae. The transcript is spliced from 3 exons.
UCCAUUUCCUAACGUUAUAUAAGUUUUUCUCUUUUAAUAGUCAUUUUGAGAAAGAACUUGUGUAGGCAACAGCCUUUCUGAUGUUAGCAAAGUUGAGUUAACUUCAUCAGAGAGGAGGAGAAUUUGUUGGCAAUCUUUGGGUAGGGUUAGAAUAUUAACCUGUUUAAAAUCUCCAUAAAACUUUUAUUUUCUAUCCAAGAGAUUACCAGCUAAUACACGCCUCUUAUGAUUGCCAACUAGUAACUUUGCUAAUGACAGGAAGACAUGUCGUCCUCACCACCAUUGUCGACUUGCCACCUAUCAUCACCACUGUUUUCACUGCACCACCACCUCUUCGCCUGACACGAUAGAUCUCAAAGCUGCAAAACUGAGGUUUUACUUUUCAGCGCUGGUAGCGGUUGUAUUUUUAUCUGAUCAUCAAACUCUCAAACUAUCGGUUCUGUACCGAUUUGACUCGGCCACUCCAGAACCCAAAACUGACACAGAUGAAUCGAAAGACGAAAUUUUGGAUCUGGGUCAUGACUGUCUGGUGAGAAGGAGCAAGUCUGAUAAGGUUGGUAGUGUUGUGGUUUGUCGCCGAUCUUCAUCUUCAUGUGGAUCUUCAUCUUCAUCGUUGAUCUGUUUUGGGUUUGGUGGUGGUUUUAUUUUUUUAUUUUUUCUUGCCAUGGGUUGUGGUUGUCACAUAGAGGUUGUUGCUAGUGGAGUAGUGGUGGAGAUGGAUGUGGCUGGCUGAAAGGUUUUUGUGGGUGGUUGUUAUUGGUUGGCAGUGGCUGUGGAUUGUGGCAUUUUAGUUUGUGGCAUUUUUUUAGUGGGAUGUAUU